Oryza sativa Indica Group (long-grained rice) is the source of this 275-nucleotide microRNA precursor. It matches the Rfam family "MIR821 microRNA precursor family". NCBI's taxonomy places the organism in Eukaryota, Viridiplantae, Streptophyta, Magnoliopsida, Poales, Poaceae. The record is from Rfam.
GAUUUUAACUAAAAAAGUCAUCAACAACGAAGUUGUAUAAAUCAUCAAUAUCUAUAACUUUUAUUUUGGUCAUUUAUUCAUCCGAUAGAGUGGUAGUAACAUUGUUUAUAAAUUUUACACAUCUCUUGUAUGGUUUUAUAAACUAUAAGAGAGAUAUGUAAAUUUUGUGAACAAUGUUACUACCACUUUAUCGGAUGAAUAAAUGACCAAAAUAAAAGUUAUAGAUAUUGAUGAUUUAUACAACAUUGUUGUUGAUGACUUUUUCAUUUAAAGUC